AGGAAUAUUGGACAAUGGAGGCAACUCUGAUCCAGCCAUGCCGCGUGAAGGAAUAAGGCCCUAUGGGUUGUAAACUUCUUUUAGACGGGACAAAACCCCUUUACGUGUAAAGGGUUGAUGGUACUGUCAGAAUAAGCAUCGGCUAACUUCGUGCCAGCAGCCGCGGUAAUACGAAGGAUGCAAGCGUUAUCCGGAAUUAUUGGGGUUAAAGGGUGCGUAGGCGGACUAAUAAGUCAGUGGUGAAAGCCUGCAGCUUAACUGCAGAAUUGCCAUUGNUACUGUUAGUCUUGAGUACAGUUGAGGUAGGCGGAAUGUGUCAUGUAGCGGUGAAAUGCUUAGAUAUGACACAGAACACCGAUUGCGAAGGCAGCUUGCUAAGCUGUAACUGACGCUGAGGCACGAAAGCGUGGGGAGCAAACA
This 420-nucleotide ribosomal RNA is filed under the name uncultured bacterium. RNAcentral describes it as "bacterial SSU rRNA". It matches the Rfam family "Bacterial small subunit ribosomal RNA", at positions 357 to 774 of the family's 1533-position model. The record is from RNAcentral.